This 526-nucleotide unclassified non-coding RNA is filed under the name Hevea brasiliensis (rubber tree). Lineage: Eukaryota; Viridiplantae; Streptophyta; Magnoliopsida; Malpighiales; Euphorbiaceae. The record is from RNAcentral.
GAAAAUUACAAGGAGAAAAGAAGAAAAUCAAUUCUUAGUGUAGACUAACUUAUAAGAACUAUAAAAGGCCGUGUGAGCAUCUCCAGUCUCUCUGCUAUUUAAUGAGCUAUCUAUCCAUAUAGGAAAAACAAAACAAACAGAAAGAAGAAAUUGCAGCUAAAUAAUCAACUAGCUGACUCCUUUGCUAUCUUCUCAGCCUUAGCAAUGACUUCUUCUAUACCCCCAACCAGGUAGAACGAUUGCUCCGAUAGGUCAUCAUAUUUACCGUCAAGGACACCCUGAAAACUUUGGAUGCUCUCUUUCAACUCUACAUACUUUCCAGGGGCACCAGUAAAUACUUCUGCAACGUGGAAAGGCUGACUCAAGAACCUCUGAAUUUUACGGGCACGAGCAACAGUUAAUUUGUCAUCUUCACUCAAUUCAUCCAUUCCCAGAAUGGCGAUAAUAUCCUGAAGAUUCUUGUAGUUCUGGAGAACCUUUUGUACACCUCGUGCAGUGUUGUAAUGAUCUUCCCCUAGGAUAUGAG